RNAcentral lists this long non-coding RNA (895 nucleotides) under Homo sapiens (human). RNAcentral's name for it is "non-protein coding lnc-EHD4-3:1". Lineage: Eukaryota; Metazoa; Chordata; Mammalia; Primates; Hominidae. The record is from RNAcentral.
GGGGACAGAAGAGGGUAGGCAGCAGAGGCCAGGUCUGUGGACAAAAGCCCCACUUCAGAGUGGUUGGAAGCCAGGACAGGAGGGACUCAUGGAGGUGACCGCUUCACAGGAGUCCUUUCUCCAGUCGUGCUAGGGAGGAGCCCCUGCCUGUCCAGCACUGCCCCUGCCUCUUGCUGUACCUUGCCAGUGUGCCCUCCCCCCGCCCACUACCAUAGUAGGCAUCUGGCUUUUCCCACCAACCCAUCUACCUUUUUGGUGGUCCAGACCUACAGUCUCCUUGCAGAGCACUCCUCCUCCCACCCUCACUUCAAGUGAGGUUUGGAUGAGAUUGACCACAUCCCCUUGGUCACAAAUAUUGGCUCAGGAAUGGACAUGUGGCCCUGUUCAAGCCUAUGAGAGCCAGGACCCCCAGACUUAUGUUAGAACUCUUGAGAGAGAUACUCUGUCUUCUCUGAACCUUGCAGUAUAUAGAAAUGAGCCUAUUGAUGCAACAAUAUAAAUGGCACUGAGAGGGGUGUCCAGAGCUGCUGGGGUCAGGGGAGGGAGGUCAGCCUGGCAGAAGCCAUCUUGUGGAGCAUGAAAAUGAAAGAGACCUUGAGAAAGGCCAGAGGAAUCCAGGCCUGUGGUGACAACAUUUGAGCUGCUGGAUCAAACCUCACCUGAAGUCCUUCCUAUUCCUACUAGAUAUUUUUUUCCACUGUGUGGGCCAAUGCAUUCCCUUUAUACUGUGUAAGCCAGGCAUGGUGGCUCACACCUAUAAUCCCAGCAAUGCAGGAGGCUGAAGUGGGAAGAUCGUUGAGGCCAGGAGUUCAAGACCAGCCUGGGCAACCUAAGAAGACCCUGUCUCUAAAAAAGAAUUAAAUAUAAAUAAAUAAAUAAUAAAAAUAUAAUGUUU